UGAAUACGAGACGCUAAGGCGUCGAAGUAGUGUAUGUCAUACUUCCAAGAAAAGCUUGCACUGUCAUAGAUAAAAAACGCCUGUACCAUAACCGACACAGGUGGGUAGGUAGAGUAUACUAAGGGGCGCGAGAUAACUCUCUCUAAGGAACUCGGCAAAAUAACUCCGUAACUUCGGGAGAAGGAGUGCCUUAUUCGUAAGGUUGCAAUAACAAGAUCCAAGCGACUGUUUAUCAAAAACACAGGUCUCCGCUAAGUCGUAAGACGAUGUAUGGGGGCUGACGCCUGCCCAGUGCCAGAAGGUUAAAGAAGUUGGUUAGCAAUUGCGAAGCUGAUAACUGAAGCCCUGGUAACGGCGGCCGUAACAAUAACGGUCCUAAGGUAGCGAAAUUCCUUGUCGGGUAAGUUCCGACCCGCACGAAAGGCGUAAUGAUUUGGAUACUGUCUCGGAGAGGGGCUCGGUGAAAUAGACUUGUCUGUGAAGAUGCGGACUACCUGCACCAGGACAGAAAGACCCUAUGAAGCUUUACUGUAACUUGAAAUUGAAAUUGGACUUUAUUCGCGCAGUAUAGGUGGAAGGCGUUGAUUAUAAUCUUGUGGGAUUAUUGGAGCCAUCAGUGAGAUACCACUCUUGUAAUGUUAGAUUUCUAACUUUGAAUCAUUAUCUGGUCAAAGAACAGUUUCAGGCGGGCAGUUUGACUGGGGCGGUCGCCUCCUAAACGGUAACGGAGGCGUACAAAGGUUUCCUCUGAACGGUUAGAAAUCGUAUCUAGAGUGUAAAGGCAUAAGGAAGCUUGACUGUGAGACCUACAAGUCGAGCAGGGACGAAAGUCGGUCUUAGUGAUCUGACGGUACUGAGUGGAAAGGCCGUCACUCAACGGAUAAAAGUUACUCUAGGAUAACAGGCUGAUCUCCCCCAAGAGUUCACAUCGACGGGGAGGUUUGGCACCUCGAUGUCGGCUCAUCGCAUCCUGGGGCGGUAGUACGUCCCAAGGGUUGGGCUGUUCGCCCAUGAAAGCGGUACGCGAGCUGGGUUCAGAACGUCGUGAGACAGUUCGGUCCAUAUCCGGUGUAGGCGUUAGAAUAUUGAGAGGAGCCUUCUUUAGUACGAGAGGACCGAGAAGGACAUACCUCUGGUGUACCAGUUAUCGUGCCAACGGUAAACGCUGGGUAGCUAUGUAUGGAGUGGAUAACCGCUGAAAGCAUCUAAGUGGGAAGCCCACCUC
This 1225-nucleotide ribosomal RNA is filed under the name metagenome. RNAcentral describes it as "bacterial LSU rRNA". It matches the Rfam family "Bacterial large subunit ribosomal RNA", at positions 1564 to 2800 of the family's 2925-position model. The record is from RNAcentral.